GGCGAGAAACCCUACAAGUGCCCCGA
Molecule: non-coding RNA, 26 nt
Filed under: Homo sapiens (human)
Lineage: Eukaryota; Metazoa; Chordata; Mammalia; Primates; Hominidae
Source: RNAcentral